This 466-nucleotide ribosomal RNA is filed under the name uncultured bacterium. RNAcentral describes it as "bacterial SSU rRNA". It matches the Rfam family "Bacterial small subunit ribosomal RNA", at positions 24 to 526 of the family's 1533-position model. The record is from RNAcentral.
UCAGGACGAACGCUGGCGGCGUGCCUAAUGCAUGCAAGUCGCACGCAGAGUGCUUGCACUCUGAGUGGCGCACGGCUGAGGAUCACGUGGGAACAUGCCUCCUUGUGGGGGACAACACCGCGAAAGCGGUGCUAAUCCCGCAUGCGCUCUCGCGAGAGAGGAAAGCAGUGAUGCGCAGGGAGAGUGGCCCGCGGCCCAUCAGGUCGUAGGUGGGGUAACGGCCUACCUAGCCGAUGACGGGUAGCUGGUCUGUGAGGACAGACAGCCAGACUGGGACUGAGACACGGCCCAGACUCCUACGGGAGGCAGCAGCAAGGAAUCUUCGUCAAUGGGCGCAAGCCUGAACGAGCAACGCCGCGUGGAGGAUGACGGCCUUCGGGUUGUAAACUCCUUUUUCGGGGGACGAUGAUGACGGUACCCCGGGAAUAAGGCUCGGCUAACUCUGUGCUAGCAGCCGCGGUAAUAC